RNAcentral lists this ribosomal RNA (377 nucleotides) under uncultured eukaryote. Its description in RNAcentral is "partial 18S ribosomal RNA". It matches the Rfam family "Eukaryotic small subunit ribosomal RNA", at positions 592 to 976 of the family's 1831-position model. The record is from RNAcentral.
CAAUAGCGUAUAUUAAAGUUGUUGCAGUUAAAAAGCUCGUAGUUGGAUUUCGGGGCAGCCUGGCUGGUCCGCCGCAAGGCGAGUACUGGUCAGCCGCCCUUCCUCUCGAAAGCCCCGACUGCUCUUCGUUGCAGUGGUCGGGUAGUUCGGGACGUUUACUUUGAAAAAAUUAGAGUGUUCAAGGCAGGCCUACGCCUGAAUACAUUAGCAUGGAAUAAUGGAAGAGGACCUCGGUCCUAUUUUGUUGGUUUCCAGGGCCGAAGUAAUGAUUAAGAGGGACAGUUGGGGGCACUCGUAUUUAAUUGUCAGAGGUGAAAUUCUCGGAUUUAUGAAAGACGAACAACUGCGAAAGCAUUUGCCAAGGAUGUUUUCAUUAA